Long non-coding RNA from Etheostoma spectabile (orangethroat darter), 114 nucleotides. RefSeq lists it as uncharacterized. Lineage: Eukaryota; Metazoa; Chordata; Actinopteri; Perciformes; Percidae. The transcript is spliced from 3 exons. The record is from RefSeq and is a predicted model, not a curated record.
ACAUUUUAACAUCAACAUGUUCUAUGUUGCUAACAUGAACAAAAUGAAAGAUUUCUUGAAAUGAGAGGUGACCCAGAUGAUCGCUAAGCCUUUUAAAAAUUGGAUUUGGCCCGG